Molecule: ribosomal RNA, 1094 nt
Filed under: Pilotrichopsis dentata
Lineage: Eukaryota; Viridiplantae; Streptophyta; Bryopsida; Hypnales; Cryphaeaceae
Description: eukaryotic LSU rRNA
Rfam family: Eukaryotic large subunit ribosomal RNA
Source: RNAcentral
UAAGCGGAGGAGAAGAAACUAACCAGGAUUUCCCUAGUAACGGCGAGCGAACCGGAAAGAGCCCAGCUUGAAAAUCGUGGUGCCUCGUACCUCGAGUUGUAGUCUGGAGAAGGUCCCUCUGCGACGCGCCGGACCCAAGUUCCCUGGAAAGGGACGUCAUCGAGGGUGACAACCCCGUCCGCGCCCGGAAGGCGUCGCUCCACGAGGACCUGUCUGCGAGUCGGGCUGUUUGGGAAUGCAGCCCUAAUCCGGUGGUAAAUUCCAUCGAAGGCUAAAUAUGGGCAAGAGACCGAUAGCGAACAAGUACCGCGAGGGAAAGAUGAAAAGGACUUUGAAAAGAGAGUUAAAAAGUGCUUGAAAUUGCUGGGAGGGAAGCGAAUGGAAGCUGCGGGUGCGCCCCGGUUGGAUGUGGAACGGCUUCGGCUGGUCCGCCGCUCAACGCGGGGCGCUGGUCAGCGUGGGCCGCGGCGCCGGGACAAGAGCGGGGAUUCGCUUCCCGCCUAUGCCGGUGCGGUGGCCGAGGAACGAAGCGCGCGCCUCUCUUUGGCGUGGGUUCGCCCAACUGCGCGCUCGGGACGCUGGCGUAUUGAGCUCUUCAUCCGACCCGUCUUGAAACACGGACCAAGGAGUCUAACAUGUAUGCGAGCCGGUGGGCGGCAAACCCAUUGAGGCGCAAGUAAACUGACAGGUGGGACCCCGACCGCAAGGGAGGGAGCACCAUCGACCGACCGUGAUCUUCUGUGAAAGGUUUGAGUGGGAGCAUACCUGUUGGGACCCGAAAGAUGGUGAACUAUGCCUGAGCAGGGCGAAGCCAGAGGAAACUCUGGUGGAGGCUCGUAGCGAUACUGACGUGCAAAUCGUUCGUCAGACUUGGGUAUAGGGGCGAAAGACUAAUCGAACCAUCUAGUAGCUGGUUCCCUCCGAAGUUUCCCUCAGGAUAGCUGGAGCUCGUGUACAAGUUUUAUCAGGUAAAGCGAAUGAUUAGAGGCAUCGGGGGUGUAACACCCUCGACCUAUUCUCAAACUUUAAAUAGGUAAGCCGCCGGGGUUGCUUGGUUGAACCCCGGCACAGAAUGAGAGCUCCAAGUGGGCCAU